ACAUGCUUACAACAUAGCAUUAAUGCACCAGAUCUCAUUAGAACUCUGUAGUGAAGUGUGCUUGGCCUAGAGUAGUAUUGGGAUGGGUGGCCGCCUGGGAAGUCCUAUGUUUUACAUUCC
Non-coding RNA from Picea glauca (white spruce), 120 nucleotides. The record is from Rfam. Lineage: Eukaryota; Viridiplantae; Streptophyta; Pinopsida; Pinales; Pinaceae.